Molecule: unclassified non-coding RNA, 662 nt
Filed under: Drosophila mojavensis
Lineage: Eukaryota; Metazoa; Arthropoda; Insecta; Diptera; Drosophilidae
Description: GI25589
Source: RNAcentral
UGCGCGUGCGUACAAAAGCUAAAUAUCUCAAAUGUUCAGUGCUGACCACGGAUUUUGCACUGCAUAAUUAUCAAGCGCUCAUCUCAAGACUCGCUUACCAAAGAUGGCAUCGCUCCACAGAACUCAACAACAAAUCAAACAUGAACAACAUCAACAGCAACAACCAUUCGAGCAACAACUACAAAGGCAACAGUCAGCAUUUCUAAUAAUAACAACAACAAAAACAACAACGGCAGCAGCAACAUCAAGAGAAGCCGGACAUCAUUGCUGAUCGCUAGCGAAAUGAAACAAAAACAGAAUCGAGGCGAAUUUCAAAUGUUUAAUACAAAUUUUGCUUUUAAUAUGAAAGCGACCUAAAACUACGAAAAUAGGGAAAGAGGAACUGACCUUGAAGGGUCAAGUGCAGCACACACCCAUACACGCACACACGCACACACACACACACACACACACAUUUACACAAACACACUAAGAAGCACAAAUACACCCACACAUACGGACACAUAUGCACACUGUUACUCCACCCACGCAUUCAUACGGAACACAGUGAAAGGGUAACUGCAAAAACUGAUCUGCGUCAUUGUAAAACGUUUCAACGAAUUUCCAAAAAGUCUACAACAAAUACAAAAUUCCAAAAUACAAAAUAAAUAAAUAAUAAACCA